AAGCAUAUCAAUAAGCGGAGGAAAAGAAACCAACAGGGAUUGCCUUAGUAACGGCGAGUGAAGCGGCAACAGCUCAAAUUUGAAAGCUGGCCCUUUUAGGGUCCGCGUUGUAAUUUGUAGAGGAUGAUUCGGCGAGGGCUCCCGCCUAAGUCCCCUGGAACGGGGCGUCAUAGAGGGUGAGAAUCCCGUAUGCGGUGGGUUGCCUUAGCCAUGUGAAUCUCCUUCGACGAGUCGAGUUGUUUGGGAAUGCAGCUCUAAAUUGGAGGUAAAUUUCUUCUAAAGCUAAAUACUGGCCAGAGACCGAUAGCGCACAAGUAGAGUGAUCGAAAGAUGAAAAGCACUUUGGAAAGAGAGUUAAAAAGCACGUGAAAUUGUUGAAAGGGAAGCGCUUGCAACCAGACUUGUCCGCAGUUGCUCAACCGGUCUCCUGACCGGUGUACUCUUCUGCGGCCAGGCCAGCAUCAGUUCGGGCGGUCGGAUAAAGACCUUGGGAAUGUAGCUCCUCUCGGGGAGUGUUAUAGCCCAAGGUGGAAUGCGGCCAGCCUGGACUGAGGAACUCGCUUCGGCAAGGAUGCUGGCGUAAUGGUUGUAAGCGGCCCGUCUUGCAAACAC
Molecule: ribosomal RNA, 612 nt
Filed under: Botryosphaeriaceae sp. JAL-2011b
Lineage: Eukaryota; Fungi; Ascomycota; Dothideomycetes; Botryosphaeriales; Botryosphaeriaceae
Description: LSU rRNA
Rfam family: Eukaryotic large subunit ribosomal RNA
Source: RNAcentral